GGGCGCGUAGCUCAGCGGGAGAGCACUGCCUUCACACGGCAGGGGUCGCUGGUUCAAUCCCAGCCGCGCCCACCA
RNAcentral lists this transfer RNA (75 nucleotides) under Alkalilimnicola ehrlichii. RNAcentral's name for it is "tRNA-Val". It matches the Rfam family "tRNA". Rfam says of the family: Transfer RNA (tRNA) molecules are approximately 80 nucleotides in length. RNAcentral also lists the same sequence under 41 other names. The record is from RNAcentral. Lineage: Bacteria; Pseudomonadati; Pseudomonadota; Gammaproteobacteria; Chromatiales; Ectothiorhodospiraceae.